GCUGUGGAACUCCUACGGGAGGCAGCAGCGGGGAAUAUUGGACAAUGGGCGCAAGCCUGAUCCAGCCAUGCCGCGUGAGUGAUGAAGGCCCUAGGGUUGUAAAGCUCUUUUGUGCGGGAAGAUAAUGACGGUACCGCAAGAAUAAGCCCCGGCUAACUUCGUGCCAGCAGCCGCGGUAAUACGAAGGGGGCUAGCGUUGCUCGGAAUCACUGGGCGUAAAGGGUGCGUAGGCGGGUGUUUAAGUCAGGGGUGAAAUCCUGGAGAUCAACUCCAGAACUGCCUUUGAUACUGAGGAUCUUGAGUUCGGGAGAGGUGAGUGGAACUGCGAGUGUAGAGGUGAAAUUCGUAGAUAUUCGCAAGAACACCAGUGGCGAAGGCGGCUCACUGGACCGAUACUGACGCUGAGGCACGAACGCGUGGGGAGCAAACAGUAUUAGAUACCCUAGUAGUACUACCACGU
This 460-nucleotide ribosomal RNA is filed under the name uncultured bacterium. Its description in RNAcentral is "bacterial SSU rRNA". It matches the Rfam family "Bacterial small subunit ribosomal RNA", at positions 327 to 800 of the family's 1533-position model. The record is from RNAcentral.